AUUGAACGCUGGCGGCAUGCCUUACACAUGCAAAUCGAACGGUAACGGGCCUUCGGGUGCCGACGAGUGGCGAACGGGUGAGUAAUACAUCGGAACGUUCCCGAUCGUGGGGGAUAACGAGGCGAAAGCUUUGCUAAUACCGCAUACGAUCUACGGAUGAAAGCAGGGGACCGCAAGGCCUUGCGCGGACGGAGCGGCCGAUGGCAGAUUAGGUAGUUGGUGGGAUAAAAGCUUACCAAGCCGACGAUCUGUAGCUGGUCUGAGAGGAUGAUCAGCCACACUGGGACUGAGACACGGCCCAGACUCCUACGGGAGGCAGCAGUGGGGAAUUUUGGACAAUGGGCGCAAGCCUGAUCCAGCCAUGCCGCGUGCAGGAUGAAGGCCUUCGGGUUGUAAACUGAUUUUGUACGGAACGAAAAGCCUUCUUUUAAUACAGGAGGGUCAUGACGGUACCGUAAGAAUAAGCACCGGCUAACUACGUG
This 482-nucleotide ribosomal RNA is filed under the name uncultured bacterium. RNAcentral's name for it is "partial 16S ribosomal RNA". It matches the Rfam family "Bacterial small subunit ribosomal RNA", at positions 30 to 507 of the family's 1533-position model. The record is from RNAcentral.